Long non-coding RNA from Lynx canadensis (Canada lynx), 1231 nucleotides. RefSeq lists it as uncharacterized. The record is from RefSeq and is a predicted model, not a curated record. The transcript is spliced from 3 exons. NCBI's taxonomy places the organism in Eukaryota, Metazoa, Chordata, Mammalia, Carnivora, Felidae.
GCAACCUAGGCAGAGACACCAGAAUCCAAGCCCCGACCUUAGCCUGUGGACACUUCACCCUCACUGCCUGUGUAUUAAUAUUAAUGUCAAUGUUAAUAUUAAUGUCAAUGUUAAUAUUAAUAUUAUUAUUUCAGAGUGACUCAGGCUCCUUCGGACAUGAUUAAACGCAGCCUCUAGUGUGCCUCGCCUCUGGUCGGCUCUAGCCUCUGUCUGGCCCCAGUCGCCCCCUCUGGGAACCGACUGCUAGCCUCCCCUACAGACUCAGAGCUCCUGCUCCUGUACAGUGAUGCCUCCACCGUGGAGGGGGCUGCGAGGAGGGCUCCCUGGGAGAGGAGACGUUGAUUUCAGGACUUGGGGGUGAGUCACAGUAGCUGGCAGAAAUAAAUGCAUAGCAGAUUCCAGGCAGAAGUCACAACAGGCGUGGAGGCCCUGCAGCUUGAGAAAGCAUGGUGGGCUGGGACUGUGCAUUUAGGAGUGGAGUGGCUAGAUGGACAGGCUAAGAGGAGGAAGUGGUGGUGUGGGCAGGCGGUGGGCAGUGCCGGCCUCAGAAGCCAGGCGGAGGAGUGGGGCGUUAUUCCCAGGGCCGUGGGGAGCCAAGGAAGAUGUGUGAGCAGUGGAGGAGUGCUGUGUCCAAAGAUUCCUCCAGAGUGAGCGAGCCUGCUGUCUGGAGGUGGGGAACCUGGGCAGGAGACCAGCGUUCCAGAAGGAGACAGAAAAAUUGCACAUCACAACUCUGAGGCGUCAUUUGUUUUCCCCUAUGAGACUGGCAAAGAUUCAGAAGUGUGCCGAUGUUCUGCGCUGGCCGGGCUAUGGGAAAACAGGGAAGCCCGUGCCACGCUUCAGGAUCACAUGUGGCGCUGUCCCAGUGGAAGGCACACUGACCGGCAGAGGCCACGGGGGUUCCAAACACUCGUGCCUGCUGCCCCAGCAUCCGCUGCUGGGACUGUCCUGAAUAUUUCAUGUGGACAAAGUGACAAGGGCGGCAGUGGCAUGAACUAACUGAGGAGUGGAUAAAUGAAACGUGGUGCCUCCAGACAGCGGAAUGUUACUCAGCCGCAAAAAGUGGUGAAGUGCUGACGCUCCCUUGGUCAUGGAUGAACCUUGAAAACAUCAGGGUGAGUGAAAGAAGCCAGAGUCACAAAAGCCCACGGAGCCUAUGACUCCAUUGAUACGAGACGUCCGGACCAGGCAAAUCCCUAGGGACAGAAAGCAGAUUGGCGGUCGCCAGGGG